UCUUUUCUGCUGGACUUUUCCAGCGUGGUCUGCCACCCUCCGGCCAGCCACCAGCUGCCAGCCCACCCCAGUUUUGACCCCCAUCACCUCCUCUCUCUCCCCGGCCUAGCCCCCGAGUCGUUAGCCCGCCGGAAGAGGAGAAAACUCGCCGGAGACGCCGGGAAGCUUUUGCCAGAAAUCCCACCUCCGGCCACCAUAGGUCGGAAUCUUUGGCUCAUCUUGUAGCCCUCAUCAAGGUGAGUAUUCCCUCAAAAGGAAUUAAUCUAUUUCGUUGUUAUUAUGGAGAAAUGUAUAAUUGAAGUUUUUAGGGAUUUAUGGAAGUUUUGAUUCAUUGGCCCUAGUUAGCCUUAGAAAUGGACUAAGUGCUAGUUAUGAAUAUUGUUGAGCAUGAGGAGAGGAAUAUUCUGUGAAAAUUUGAGAAGCAUUGGAAGUCGCGGGAAAACGGCUGCCGGCCGCCGCCGCCGCCGCCCUUAGGGGCAGUUUUUCAUGCUUUUUUGGGUUUGUUUAAUGAGAGGAGUUUAAUGAAGUAUAGUUUGGAAGUUUUGGAGGAGAUUUGAUAAGGUUUAGGAUUUAAUCUAUGAUUAAGGAUUUAGGCGGUUAUUCGAAUGGAAAUCCGGCAGUUGGUUUAGCAGGUUUUAAAGUCUAAAAAGGUUAAAUUAUGGCUUUCGGUAAGUGCGGAGUAAUGUGAACCUUAUUAGGUAAAAUGUGGAGAAGUUGGGCAAGAGAAAUGAAAUUAUAGGCUUCCUUUUUAUUUCGGGAAUUUUAUUAAAGUUUUGUUCUGGUUUGGAGGCUUAAUGAUUAUUUAUUGUUCAGGACGUGAGGAGGAUCAUUUGGAGGAAGCCUCGGGCCGUCGGCAAGCAUAGCCUAGCACGGUGAGUGGACCUUUGAUUUUAAUAUCAUGCAUGUGCUAAAGUUAUUUAAUUUCAAAGGCAUUUGGAGAUAUAAUAAUUUGUUGGAUUAUCGAGUUCCACUUUUUUUUUUUCUGGAACUCUCUUGCUAAUUUUAGUUGACACGUGGGACGUGUCAAGUGUUUUAUAUUAUUUCCAUGUACAGUUGGGAACUGUACUGUGCGCUAUGAGUUUAUUAUAAUUUAUUUGGGGAAGUGUGGAUCUUUGUAUUUUAAUAUUGUACUUCAUCAUAAAAGGGUUGAUAUAUAGAUUAUUGCUAGCUAACCUUAUUAGCGGUCCUCAUCAUAUGUGAGUCGCUAUUAUAGUCUUAUUAGCGGUUCUCAUCAUAUGUGAGUAGAGCGUUUAGCGUGGGACGCUAUUAUAGCUUGGGAGGCAACCGAUCGGUAUAUAUAUAUAUAUUUAUUGUUAGCUAGCCAUUAUUUAGCGGUCCUCAUCAUAUGAGAGUUGAGCGCUUAGCGUAGGACGCUAUUAUAACUUUUUAAGCGGUCCUCAUCAUAUGUGAGUAGAGCGCUUAGCAUGGGACGCUAUUAUAGCCUGGGAGGCUCAUUGUUAUGGUGAAACAUUUUCCCUAUUUUUAUUGAUUUAUUAGGAACCAAUGGGAUUGGUUCAUUAGUUUUGUCUAUAAUUAUUUUCGGAAAGAUUUCCAAAAAUGGCAUGCAUAAAAUAAAUAUUUUUCUCAAUGGAAAAUAUGGGAAAAGCGUUAAAUUGAUUUCAAUGCUCUAUCAUUAAGUCCGUAUUUUUAUUAUUUAUUUUGUCCACUCACUCUAACGUUUUAAAUGCUUUCCCCUGGGCCUUUCGUUUUAAAUGCCCAGUCUGCAGAGUUCUGUUCGGCGAGGGUAGGAGGCGAGUCAUAUUUCCCACCUCAUCUAGUUUUCUCUCAUAGGUUACUAGUUAACCUACCUAUGUAUUUUCUUCUUUCCUAGUAGUUGCUCUGAUAACCUUGGGAUGUUUUAAGUGAUAUUAAGAUUGUUUUUAUUGUGGUUGUGUGCUAAGAGCUUAUGACUCCUCUUAGGAGUGAUGAAAAAGACAUAUUUGGUAUGUUUGUAUGAGAGAUUAAAUUCAUGAAAUUAUUUCGAUUUAUUAUGUUGGUUGAGGUGGUGGAUGUUUAUUUGGGGGAGCGGAUGGCUCCAGAAGACGUGGAUUGAAUUGUUUUAGAAGUGUUUGGGUUUUGGUGAUUUUUUUCUUCUAGGUAGGGUUACUCAUUUUCAAGGGAAGUUAUGCCAAAAUUUUGGUAGAAUUUCCCUUGAG
This 2156-nucleotide long non-coding RNA is filed under the name Fragaria vesca (wild strawberry). RNAcentral's name for it is "long non-coding RNA (FVES_LNC005509)". Lineage: Eukaryota; Viridiplantae; Streptophyta; Magnoliopsida; Rosales; Rosaceae. The record is from RNAcentral.